GGUGGUAGGCGCAGUGGCGGCGGCAACGGUGGCAACCCCCGCUUGGCCAACUCCGCACACUCCUAUAGUGUGGAUACCAACUGGUAUCUGGAUACCGACGCCACUAAUCAUGUUACUAGAGAGUUGGAGAAACUAGCCAUUCAUGAUCGCUACACGGACAACGACCAAAUCCACACGGCUAGUGGUCAAGGUAUGGACAUUGCACAUAUUGGUCAUUCAGUAUUAUCUACUCCCUCUGGUUCCUUGAACUUAUACAAUAUUCUUCAUGCUCCUAGUGCCAACCAAAGUCUCCUUUCUGCCUAUAAUCUUAUGCGAGAUAAUGAUGUGUUUAUUGAACUUCACCUUGAAUUCUUUCUUGUCAAGGAUCAGACUACCCGGAGAACAAUUCUUCAAAACAGGAGUAGAUGGGGCUUGUUCCCGGUGACCGAACGGAAAAGUGCCCCGCAACAUCAAGUGCUUGUUGCCAACAAACCAUCCACAUCUCGGUGGCACAAACAUCUAGGGCAUCUUGCUCUUCCGGUAGUUCAGAAGAUCCUUCAUGACUUCAAUCUGCCCGUUUCAAAUAAGCAAGAUCAUCUCUUAGUGUGUGAUGCAUGUCAGAUGGCCAAGAGCCAUCAUUUACCUUAUUCCCGUUCAACUAGCGAAUCGAUGGCUCCUUUAGAGAUUAUUUUUUCAAAUGAUCGGGGUCCUGGACCCAUCUCUGUAGGAAGACAGAAAUAUUAUGUCAGCUUUAUUGAUGAUUUUAGCAAGUUU
This 753-nucleotide ribosomal RNA is filed under the name Triticum aestivum (bread wheat). Its description in RNAcentral is "partial small subunit ribosomal RNA". Lineage: Eukaryota; Viridiplantae; Streptophyta; Magnoliopsida; Poales; Poaceae. The record is from RNAcentral.